GCGAAAGCGCGAACCAGCAACGCCGCGUGUGCGAAGACUGCCUUCGGGUUGUAAAGCACUUUACGGGAGGAAGAGGAAUGACUGUACUCCCGGAAUAAGUCUCGGCUAAACUACGUGCCAGCAGCCGCGGUAAUAACGUAGGAGGCAAACGUUAUCCGGAUUUACUGGGCGUAAAGCGCGUGCAGGCUGUUCAAUAAGUUGGGCGUGAAAGCUCCCGGCUCAACUGGGAGAGGUCGUUCAAUACUGUUGGACUAGAGGAUGGUAGAGGAAGGUGGAAUUCCGGGUGUAGUGGUGAAAUGCGCAGAUAUCCGGAGGAACACCAGUGGCGAAAGCGGCCUUCUGGACCAUUCCUGACGCUCAGACGCGAAAGCUAGGGUAGCAAACGGGAUUAGAGACCCCGGUAGUCCUAGCUGUAAACGAUGUGAACUUGGCGUCGGUGGGAUUAAAUCCAUCGGUGUCGUAGCUAACGCGAUAAGUUCACCGCCUGAGGACUACGGCCGCAAGGUUAAAACUCAAAGGAAUUGACGGGGACCCGCACAAGCAGCGGAGCGUGUGGUUUAAUUCGUUGCUACACGAAGAACCUUACCUGGGUUUGACAUAUAGGUUGUAGGGAACUGAAAAGGGACCGACCCUUCGGGGAGCCUAUACAGGUGUUGCAUGGCUGUCGUCAGCUCGUGUCGUGAGAUGUUCGGUUAAGUCCGCUAACGAGCGCAACCCUCGCCGUAUGUUAUACGUGUCAUACGGGACUGCCGGUAAUAAGCCGGAGGAAGGUGGGGAUGAUGUCAAGUCAGCAUGACCCUUAUAUCCAGGGCUACACACACGCUACAAUGGUCUGUACAAUGGGUAGCCAAGCCGCGAGGCGGAGCCAAUCCUGAAAGCAGGCCUCAGUUCAGAUUGCAGUCUGCAACCCG
Molecule: ribosomal RNA, 911 nt
Filed under: uncultured organism
Description: bacterial SSU rRNA
Rfam family: Bacterial small subunit ribosomal RNA
Source: RNAcentral